This 758-nucleotide ribosomal RNA is filed under the name uncultured Lachnospiraceae bacterium. RNAcentral describes it as "bacterial SSU rRNA". It matches the Rfam family "Bacterial small subunit ribosomal RNA", at positions 28 to 776 of the family's 1533-position model. The record is from RNAcentral. Lineage: Bacteria; Bacillati; Bacillota; Clostridia; Lachnospirales; Lachnospiraceae.
AUUGAACGCUGGCGGCAGGCCUAACACAUGCAAGUCGAGCGGCAGCGGGAAGUAGCUUGCUACUUUGCCGGCGAGCGGCGGACGGGUGAGUAAUGUCUGGGAAACUGCCUGAUGGAGGGGGAUAACUACUGGAAACGGUAGCUAAUACCGCAUGACCUCGCAAGAGCAAAGUGGGGGACCUUCGGGCCUCACGCCAUCGGAUGUGCCCAGAUGGGAUUAGCUAGUAGGUGAGGUAAUGGCUCACCUAGGCGACGAUCCCUAGCUGGUCUGAGAGGAUGACCAGCCACACUGGAACUGAGACACGGUCCAGACUCCUACGGGAGGCAGCAGUGGGGAAUAUUGCACAAUGGGCGCAAGCCUGAUGCAGCCAUGCCGAGUGUGUGAAGAAGCCCUUAGGGUUGUAAAGUUCUUUCGGUAUUGAGGAGGGUUGAUGUGUUAAUAGCACAUCAAAUUGACGUUAAAUACAGAAGAAGCUCCCGCUAAGUCCGUUCCAGCAGCCGCGGUAAUACGGAGGGUUCGAGCGUUAAUCGGAAUAACUGGGCGUAAAGGGCACGCAGGCGGUUAUUUAAGUGAGGUGUGAAAGCCCCGGUCUUAACCUGGGAAUUGCAUUUCAGACUGGGUAACUAGAGUACUUUAGGGAGGGGUUGAAUUCCCAUUGUAGCGUUUCCCACGUAGAGAUGUGGAGGAAUCCGGUAGCCGAAGGCAGCCCCUUGGGAAUGUAGUGACGGUCAUGUUUGCAAGUGUGGGGAGCAAACAGG